This 467-nucleotide long non-coding RNA is filed under the name Vulpes vulpes (red fox). Its description in RNAcentral is "lncRNA (ENSVVUG00000005444.1)". The record is from RNAcentral. Lineage: Eukaryota; Metazoa; Chordata; Mammalia; Carnivora; Canidae.
AUGGCAGGGGUAGGGCUCUUUAUUCUUCUCCCCCACCCCCAGGAAUCCUUUGUGACUGCUUCACUGCUCUAUGAUGCAGGCUCAGAAUUCUCUGGAACACAGCACACACCUCAAGGCCCAUUGGCUGAGGUAGCAGGGAGCUUCAGACCUCAGAUGUUGGAGGCACAUCUCCUUUCUGAGGAGACUGAGGGAGACAUGAGUGUUGUUGGGCUCCUUCCUCUUCAUCCUUCCUCCUACAGGGAAAGAUUGCUACCUGCCUUCAGAAUAAAGAAAACAUCAGCCAGAUCCCAGACCUCAAGUCAGAAAGAGAGUGGCCUCUCUGUUUGGGUAUUUCCUGUGUACCAACCAUGACUGGUCAAGAUCCAAGAUCAACAUAUUGUGGCAUUCCAUGAAAAAACAAGUGUAUCAGUUAACUGUUGCUGCAAUAAUGCUAUAUAAUAAACCACCUCAAAUCUUAGUAAUAAUCA